GACGAACGCUGGCGGCGUGCCUAAUACAUGCAAGUAGAACGCACAGUUUAUACCGUAGCUUGCUACACCAUAGACUGUGAGUUGCGAACGGGUGAGUAACGCGUAGGUAACCUGCCUGGUAGCGGGGGAUAACUAUUGGAAACGAUAGCUAAUACCGCAUAAUAUUGAUUAUUGCAUGAUAAUUGAUUGAAAGAUGCUAUUGCAUCACUACCAGAUGGACCUGCGUUGUAUUAGCUAGUAGGUGAGGUAACGGCUCACCUAGGCGACGAUACAUAGCCGAACUGAGAGGGUGGUCGGCCACACUGGGACUGAGACACGGCCCAGACUCCUACGGGAGGCAGCAGUAGGGAAUCUUCGGCAAUGGACGAAAGUCUGACCGAGCAACGCCGCGUGAGUGAAGAAGGUUUUCGGAUCGUAAAGCUCUGUUGUAAGAGAAGAACGGGUGUGAGAGUGGAAAGUUCACACUGUGACGGUAUCUUACCAGAAAGGGACGGCUAACUACGUG
This 505-nucleotide ribosomal RNA is filed under the name uncultured bacterium. RNAcentral describes it as "partial 16S ribosomal RNA". It matches the Rfam family "Bacterial small subunit ribosomal RNA", at positions 28 to 507 of the family's 1533-position model. The record is from RNAcentral.